Molecule: ribosomal RNA, 253 nt
Filed under: uncultured bacterium
Lineage: Bacteria
Description: partial 16S ribosomal RNA
Rfam family: Bacterial small subunit ribosomal RNA
Source: RNAcentral
UACAGAGGUCUCAAGCGUUGUUCGGAUUCAUUGGGCGUAAAGGGUGCGUAGGCGGCGCGGUAAGUCGGGUGUGAAAUCUCGGAGCUUAACUCCGAAACUGCAUUCGAUACUGCCGUGCUUGAGGACUGGAGAGGAGACUGGAAUUUACGGUGUAGCGGUGAAAUGCGUAGAUAUCGGGAGGAACACCUGUGGCGAAGGCGGCCACCUGGUUGGAUACUGACGCUGAGACGCGAAAGCGUGGGGAGCAAACAGG